UUCUGUGAUUUUUGUUUUCUAAUUGAGCUCAAACUGAUAAAAAUUAUAAGAACUGACUAUAGUUAGAAAAGCCUCCUUAUCUACUCUUGAGGGAGGCCCACCAUCAUUCAUCUUCACCCUUAAGCUCUCCUGAUUCUCAACUCCCAUAUCUCAUAAGGUAGGGCAGAUUGCUGUCAGCCAAAAGCAUCAGUGACUUAUGUCUCCUCAAUGCUCUUGCUUCCUUGGAAGAUCAUAAUUUUCAUAAUAAAAAUGCACACCUUUCUUCCAAAUAAUGAACAGAACACUGGGCAUGAUGGAAAAUCUCAAUAACUUGAAAAUGAAUAUCUGUUUGCAAUGGUGUUGUAUUACCUAACCAUUACCACUUUAACCAAAUGAUCAGAUUUAGUAUCAUUAGACAUGAAAUGACAUGAUUCCAUUUUUCCAAACAAACAAACAAACAAUAAAUAAAUAAAUUGGACACAAUAUCUUUAUUUAUUUUUAUGUUGUAGGUUUAGAGAGACUUAACAUUAAAUGCAGUGCCCAAUCAAAGUUCAUGAAUUGCAUUUAAUGCAGAAAAUUUUAUUUAAGAUAUUUGGGGGGAAUUUGAAUGUGCUUGAAUUGUGGAAUUAUUGUUAAUUUCCUUUGGUAGGAUCAUGGAGUUGUAGUUAAAAGGUACACAGGGCAUAUACUAAUGCAUGAAAUGAUGUAUGUACACUAUUUUGUGGUUUGCAGUAUGUUUGUUACUUUGUUUAGUGAUAUGUGUAUGAGAUAUUGUAGUAGUUAGUGUUUGUUAAGAAAAUAACUUUUUCUUAGGAGAUAUGUUUAGACAUGUUUGGUAGUGAAGUAACAUGAUACUUAGAUUAUUUUGAAAUGGUAGAGUCAGAGAAUCAGAAGUGGCAAAUCAUUAAUGGUGAAUCUAGG
Molecule: long non-coding RNA, 900 nt
Filed under: Marmota monax (woodchuck)
Lineage: Eukaryota; Metazoa; Chordata; Mammalia; Rodentia; Sciuridae
Source: RNAcentral